Non-coding RNA from Paramuricea clavata, 1174 nucleotides. The record is from the annotation of a GenBank genome assembly. NCBI's taxonomy places the organism in Eukaryota, Metazoa, Cnidaria, Anthozoa, Malacalcyonacea, Plexauridae.
GCAUUAAACGGCCAAUCGGCUUAUUUUUUCAUGCUCUUUCAGAUGAAGCAAUAAGAUAGAUGAAGCAAUUUUUGUUGCCAAUACCCUUUAACUGUUGAGUAACAUACACAAACUAAUCGAGGAACAUGCAUUACUGUAGCAAAGAGUCAAUCAUAUAUCGAAGACCACCAAAUAGUAGAGAAUGUAAGUUCUUUGUUUUGAAGGUCAUGAGUGAAGUAUAUAAUUCAAUUCCAAUCCUGUGCACAGUUAAUGAUAUACCAUGAACACUGUUCGGUUUAAUUAACUCAGCAUAUCCCCACAAAAACAAUUUGUGUUGUGGGAGAAUAUCUGUUUGAGUAGAAGGUAUCACAAGUUUAGUUUUGUAUAUUGUGUGCCAUUGAUCUGAUCCAUCCGACCAUCCAUAUAAUAUAUGAUUAUUGUAGCUGUUAAGUUAUUUUCCAUACUAAUGAAUUUAGGUAAGAUUGUCUUGCAAGUGGGUUGUUCUGACAAAGUUAUCCAGCCAAUAUCCAGUACAUCAGUACAUGUAUAUUCAUUCUUGUAUUAAUCUGUAAACAAAAUUAGAAAGCAAAAUGACAAUGUGAUGAGGAGGGAGGGUGGGGAUUCUUUUAUUAGCAUUUGAAAAUGGUUGUAACAAUUUUGUUUAAUUAACUCUAUUAUGUAAAACCAAAAUGUAUAUAAAGUAUAAUUUUAACUGAUGACAUCUUUACCUUUGCUCUAACACUACAUUUGAUGACAACUUAGUUGGACUGUCGUUUUGAACAGAGUUGCAGAAAUACAGGACCAGGAUUUAAUUCAAUAUCUCCUGAGAACAUUAGUUUCUUGUGAUAUUGUUAAUUGGCAAUAUAAUGCCUGCAGCCAGAGUUUUGACUGUUUAAAAUAUUACAAAAUGAUUGUUUUUAUACUGUAUAAAUGUAUAUAAUAAAAUAUGUGGUAUUUGACUACCUACCAGAUGAGGAUAAGUUUCCAUGUUGAUAGAUAACUUCGGAAUAAUAUCACAAGUAGAAUGGUGAAAACAAGACAGCCAGUAAUCUGCUUCGCAGAUACAAAAAUAAAGAUAUACACCGGCACUGUAUUGAUAUAUGUUUAUACCUGGAAGUUUUUUUCAUUAUAAAAGUGUAUUUUCCCAAUUUAGAUUGGGUGGGUGGGUCAUGAAAUAAAUUUGGUAAGAUUGGAU